This 421-nucleotide ribosomal RNA is filed under the name uncultured bacterium. RNAcentral describes it as "bacterial SSU rRNA". It matches the Rfam family "Bacterial small subunit ribosomal RNA", at positions 29 to 506 of the family's 1533-position model. The record is from RNAcentral.
AUGAACGCUGGCGGCGUGCCUUAGGCAUGCAAGUCGAACGGUCCGCAAGGACAGUGGCGGAAGGGUGAGUAACGCGUGGGAACGUACCUAUUGGUGGGGGAUAGCUUUCCGAAAGGAGGGGUAAUCCCGCAUAAGCCCGAAAGGGGAAAGAUUUAUCGCCGAUAGAGCGGCCCGCGUCCUAUCAGUUUGUUGGUGGGGUAAUGGCCUACCAAGACUAUGACGGGUAGCUGGGCUGAGAGGUCGGCCAGCCACAAUGGAACUGAGACACGGUCCAUACAUCUACGGAUGGCAGCAACCGGGAAUCUUGGACAAUGGGGGAAACCCUGAUCCAGCGACGCCGCGUGGGGGAAGAAGGCCUUCGGGUUGUAAACUCCUUUUGCCAACCAUAAUGGUUUGGAGAAUAAGCACCUGCCAACUACGU